GUUAAUCGGAAUUACUGGGCGUAAAUGUGCGCAGGCGGCGUUGCAAGUCGAGUGUGAAAUCCCCGAGCUUAACUUGGGAAUUGCGCUCGAAACUACGAUGCUCGAGUGUGCAGAGGAAGGUGGAAUUCCACGUGAAGCGGUGAAAUGCGUAGAGAUGUGGAGGAACACCGAUGGCGAAGGCAGCCUUCUGGGCCAACACUGACGCUCAUGCACGAAAGCGUGGGGAGCAAACAGGAUUAGAUACCCUGGUAGUCCACGCCCUAAACGAUGAUGACUAGUUGUUGGAUUUAAAUUAGUAACGCAGCUAACGCGUGAAGUCAUCCGCCUGGGGAGUACGGUCGCAAGAUUAAAACUCAAAGGAAUUGACGGGGACCCGCACAAACGGUGGAUGAUGUGGUUUAAUUCGAUGCAACGCGAAAAACCUUACCUACCCUUGACAUGUCAGGAACUCUGCAAUGCAGAGGUGCCCGAAAGGGAACAACACAGGUGCUGCAUGGCUGUCGUCAGCUCGUGUCG
This 516-nucleotide ribosomal RNA is filed under the name uncultured beta proteobacterium. RNAcentral's name for it is "bacterial SSU rRNA". It matches the Rfam family "Bacterial small subunit ribosomal RNA", at positions 540 to 1067 of the family's 1533-position model. The record is from RNAcentral. Lineage: Bacteria; Pseudomonadati; Pseudomonadota; Betaproteobacteria.